RNAcentral lists this ribosomal RNA (433 nucleotides) under uncultured bacterium. RNAcentral's name for it is "partial 16S ribosomal RNA". It matches the Rfam family "Bacterial small subunit ribosomal RNA", at positions 29 to 507 of the family's 1533-position model. The record is from RNAcentral.
AACGAACGCUGGCGGCAUGCCUAACACAUGCAAGUCGAACGAGACCUUCGGGUCUAGUGGCGCACGGGUGCGUAACGCGUGGGAACCUGCCCUUAGGUUCGGAAUAACUCCCCGAAAGGGGUGCUAAUACCGGAUAAUGUCUUCGGACCAAAGAUUUAUCGCCUUUGGAUGGGCCCGCGUUGGAUUAGCUAGUUGGUAGGGUAAAAGCCUACCAAGGCGACGAUCCAUAGCUGGUCUGAGAGGAUGAUCAGCCACACUGGGACUGAGACACGGCCCAGACUCCUACGGGAGGAAGCAGGGGGGAAUAUUGGACAAUGGGCGAAAGCCUGAUCCAGCAAUGCCGCGUGAGUGAUGAAGGCCUUAGGGUUGUAAAGCUCUUUUACCCGGGAUGAUAAUGACAGUACCGGGAGAAUAAGCUCCGGCUAACUCCGUG